Molecule: long non-coding RNA, 508 nt
Organism: Sander lucioperca (pikeperch)
Lineage: Eukaryota; Metazoa; Chordata; Actinopteri; Perciformes; Percidae
Exons: 3
Source: RefSeq, a predicted model, not a curated record
UAGUUUAGUUUAUUAGUUUAUAAUGUCGUGGACAGUCCCCCUUAAUUAACUAUACAGUAAAAGGAGCAGCUUUAGCCUCAACGGCUAAUUUCCAGCUGUAGUCCCCGGCCAUCUGACAAUAGGCAUCCUAAAAUACAAUGGUUAACAUAUUAAAAAGAGUUACAUUACAUCUAUAAUAACAGCAGGCCUAAGCAAAAAGGGUUAAAACAUACAAAGAAGUGGCACACAAACAAACAAGCACAGAUAAUGGCAAUGGCAUUAAAGCAGUCCAUGCAGUUAAUACAAUACGAAGGAGACAAGAGAAAGGAGAAAAGUCUUAGAGGCCACAUUGAAAGCACAUACAAGACAUAACGGAGGCAGGCAGCAGAAAUGGAGCGACAGCAACAAUGACUAUGUCACAUCGAACACACAUCACAUCUGACAGAUUAAUGUGUGCAAUAAUAGUUAUCGGACUGCCAUGUUUUAAGGUGUGUUGUAAAGGUGGCAUUGUCAUGUUUAUCUUUUAUUU